RNAcentral lists this ribosomal RNA (419 nucleotides) under uncultured bacterium. Its description in RNAcentral is "bacterial SSU rRNA". It matches the Rfam family "Bacterial small subunit ribosomal RNA", at positions 356 to 774 of the family's 1533-position model. The record is from RNAcentral.
AAGGAAUAUUGCUCAAUGGGAGAAAUCCUGAAGCAGCAACGCCGCGUGGCGGAUGAAGGGUCUAUGACUUGUAAACUCCUGUAAAGAAGGAAAAAAUUCCCAUUAGAUGGGAGAUGAUGGUACUUCUGGAGUAAGCCCCGGCUAACUACGUGCCAGCAGCCGCGGUAAUACGUAGGGGGCAAGCGUUGUCCGGAUUUACUGGGUGUAAAGGGUGCUCAGGCGGAUUUGUAAGUCAGAGGUGAAAUCUUACAGCUUAACUGUGAAACUGCCUUUGAUACUGCAAACCUAGAGUAUGGAAGAGAGUGAUGGAAUAUCUGGUGUAGCAGUGAAAUGCGUAGAUAUCAGAUGGAACACCAAUGGCGAAGGCAGUCACUUGGUCCAUUACUGACGCUAAAGCACGAAAGCGUGGGUAGCAAACA